Molecule: long non-coding RNA, 3034 nt
Organism: Numida meleagris (helmeted guineafowl)
Lineage: Eukaryota; Metazoa; Chordata; Aves; Galliformes; Numididae
Exons: 3
Source: RefSeq, a predicted model, not a curated record
CUGCAUGUGCUGGUACACAAGUGCUUAUGUUUUUGUCAAUUGAGAUGAUAAGUAGCCUUGCUGUAGCUCAUUUUCUUUUGGGGUAAGUUUGUAAAGGAAUCAGGUGUGGUAACUCAAGAAGUCACAGUGAAUUUACAAGCUCAGCAAAUAGUGGGAGUUAAAUGCAGAAAGCUUAGUAAAUCAGGUGCAGUCUCACUGAGUAUUGGUACAAGAUGCAGGCCUCUGUUGAGGAACCAGGCUCUUAUGUUAAAUUCAUGUACCCUCAGGACUGUAUUUAAGAAGGUAUACUUGGCUUAGAGCCCUCAGUGAGCACUGUCUGGAACAUGGGUUAAGUCCAGGUUGUUUCUUUCAGUGCAAAAUGAGAAAUACUUGGAUGGCUCCAGUCUUUUUUAGGACCCAGAAAAUAAGAGAUCAUUGCAAAAACAUGAACAAGAAGGAGGGAAACUGCAGAAGCUGAGUACCCUGGUGUUAGUAUUGGGGCUGUGGCUUUGCAGGUUCUGGUUGGCAGCGCUCAUUUCUGCAGAGCUACUGUGGGAUCCUGCUGCCCACAGGUACGUGAGAACAUCAGCCACCCUUGUUGUCCAGUGCCCCUGGGAGAAAUGACCUGAACGUAUGUUUCCCUUUGUUCAGAACCAGAGGGAAAGUUUCUCUCGCAGACUAUGUGUCAGUACGUGAAAGUCCACGUGUCCGUAUCUGGCUCAUUCCAGCUGUGAUGCCUCAAAGCUGCCUUUUCUGCCUAUUGAAGUGUUAAUAGUUUCAUGCUAAGUAUGCUAAAGAGGUUCCUUAGAUCCUCAUUUACAUAUGUUUUAUAUUACCCAUGUUUUUGCUUUUCAUGGUUUAUUGUUCCCUCCCACAACUUGCCACUAUCCCCUUCAUUAAUCCAUCUAAUUGAAACCUGACAUUUUCUGAUUUAUUGUUCCAAGUCCUCUUAAAAUCACCAGUCAGAAGAAGUUGUACCCCUGUGUAGUUAAAAGAAGACAUUCAACAGCAAAUUUUGUCUUUCCUGUGCAUAAAGAUUUCUUUUUUCAUCUGCCCUCAGUAAGAGAUUGAAAGAUAACCCUGCAAAGCAUGAAUUUCCAUUAAAUCAGCCAGCUGAGAGAGCAGGCAGGCUGAAUUUUUCAUUUGAAUUUGUUUUGUUUUGUGCUUGAAUAUAUUUUCUUAAUAUGUGUUGGAAAAAAGAAGAGGGAGCUGCUAAAAGAAGGACAACGGCAUCCUCUCCCUGGAGCUCAGUCUGUGAGUUACCCUUUCAUGGGAGCUGACUUGACUUCCCUUGGGUUUUGCUUCUGCAAGAAGGGUGUUUUAUCUGCCUUUAGCCUCUGACCCAUAGGUGUGACCUUACCACCUCUAUCUCUUUUGGAGCAAAGCCUGGGCCUCGUCAAAGCUCCCCUGGAGACCAAUGGUGAGCAUGGAGCCAGAAGAGCAGCUCCUGGUAGUGGAAAGGAUGGAGCUGGUGGAGGCAGUUGGUGUACUGCCUCCUGCAAUCCCACGUAGCCAUGGUCUGGGGGCAGGCAGCCAAGGGCUCAUUCCUGCCAAAUCUGCCGUGCCUCUCACCCCAGAAAUGCAGCAGCAUUAAUAAGGGUAUAAUCAGAUUCAGAGGAGAUGCUUGUUUAUUUCUUAUUGCUUAAAGUAGACUAAAUAGUGUACAAGAACUCACAGAAAAAACAUUCAGUUGUCUCUAUUAAACUUAAUAUUAACUCUCCCUUCUUUCCAUGAAAAAUCUUCUCUAUGUCCUUUAAUGCAAGAUAUAUUGAGCUUUAAAAAGCAUAUUCAACUGUUACAUUUUACAGGUUAACUGACAGAUUUUGGGGUGCUUUAUAGCAACAACAUCAGCAACAGCAUCUACCAAACUGUCCAGAGGGAACAGGGAAAAUCAGCACCAGAAAAAUGUAUCCAUGAUGCAGAGCUAUUGCAGAAGCCUCAUGCUGAGUGCCAUUCUGAUGCUGGAGCAGGAAGAGAAGCCAAAAAGUGGUGUGAUCAUGUUGGCACUACUGCCUGCUGCGAUGAGUCCUGCUCAUCCCACCUGAGCAUUCAGGGAGAACAACCACGGUGGAGCUGCCAGCCUCACCCUGCCUUCAUUGUGCACCCCCAUGGACAUGGCAAUGGCACAGGACACGGGAUAGGCAAGCCUGCAGGCUGCCAUGUUUCCUGACAUCACUGAGAAAGGGGAAAAGGUGAAUAACAGCUCCCUGCUUUGGAUUCCCUCCUGUUUUGGAAAAGGAAGUACAGCAGGGAGUCGGGGAGCCAGGGAAAAUGAGUGAGGUGGUUUUUGUGCUUUGGAUUCAGAGCCCUGCAGUCUGUCUGUGUAGUUCCACUUGGUUUCAGUUUAUGUGAAUUUGGACCAGAAAUUGUUUUGAAAAAAAUGGAGCGAGAGGUGGGCAGAAAAUACAUUUACAACAGCAGGUCACACACCAUGGGGAAACAUCCAUGUGAUACAUUGUGGGGAGUGAAGUCUGGCUGCAGAUCCCACUGCAGGGAAGCAUUAGGGAAACACUUUUAUUAAAACAAAUUCCCAUGUACAUUUUCUGUGGAAAGGAAGCAUUUCGUACAGAAUUUCCCCACAAACAAAGAAUAAAGCUACUCCCUAUAAAAACCUUUCACAUUUUACAUGGAAACAUUUCUAUCCAGCCUGUUUUAGAGGCAAGGACUCUGACCCUCAGGUGUUCUCUGGAGUGGGAUGAAGAUGAGGAGCACUGUUCUUGCAGGAGGAUAGACAAAGCUACAAAAUGGGACACAGCAUGUGUUCCAUACCUUCUAAGAAACAUGGGGUAACGAGGAUGAGAGUUCUCCCCUCUCCAGUUCUCCUGUGUCCAAAAGCCACUUUGUGCGUGAGCAGAAGCUCUACUUCACCAGAGCCCACAGGAACAAACCCAUCCAUCCUCAUUAGCAACACAGCCCCCCAAAAGACAAGAUGCUUUACUGUAAAGAAUGCUUUUGCUUUUUUUUUUCUACAGUGCAUUCGUUCCUAAGUACAAAACUAGCUCACCUACAUGGCUGAUUUUUUCACUGUAUUUCCAGUGUGUGCAGGCUGUUGGAA